GGGCACUUUUGAGUGGGCGCGGGCUGCCUCAGACUGGCCACCUGGUAAGGCCUCCAACAGUUCUUCCGGUAACACAAAGCCAGACACCUGGAAACACAACCCUUGCACAGGAGUCUUCUGGCACCCUUUUAUUUGGCGUCGCCCAUAGCAUGCAGAAAUUCUGGGGCCAGGAAUCAAACCCGUGCCACAGUCGUGAUAAUCCUUAAUCUGCUGUGCCACAGGGGAACUCCUAAACGCCUUUUUAGGUAUGCAAAGAGAUCCCUUUUUUGUUUUGCUUUUUAGGGCCACACCUGCAGCACAGGGAGGUUCCCAGGCUGGGGGAUGAGUCAGCCCUGAUAUUCCUGGCUCACCCAGCAGGACAGAGACAAGUGAACUCACCCCACCCCGCUUGUAUGUUGCAAAUUUAGUAUAGAAAGUUCUCACAUGCUCUCUGCCCAGUUCCUAUUUUUUUUUUUUUUUUUUAACUUUUGUCUUUUUAGGGCUGUACCUGCAGCAUAAGGAGGUUCCCAGGGUAGGGGUCCAAUCGGAGCUGCAGCUACCAGCCUACGCCACAGCAAUUCCAGAUGCAAACCGCCUCUGUGACCUACGCCACAGCUCAGGGCAAUGCUGGAUCCUUUUCUUUAGGGCCACACCCGCGGCAUAUGGAGGUUCCCAGGCUAGGGGUCUAAUUGGAGUUGUUGCUGCUGGCCUACGCCAGAGCCACAGCAACACCAGAUCAGAGCCGCGUCUGCGACCUACACCACAGCUCAUGGCAAUGCCAGAUCCUUAACUCCCUGAGCCAGGGAUGGAACCGCAACCUCAUGGUUCCUAGUCAGAUUCGUUUCCACUGCCAUUGCGCCACGAUGGGAACUCCCUACCUCACUUAUUUAUUCUUUUUAUCACUAUUAUAUUAUUCUGUUGUCAUAACCCCCAAAUAUUAUUAAUUUUGCUGCUCAUGUUAUUCCAGCUUUGGCCAGUAGGAGCUCUGUCAGGUUGCUCCUGAGUUUUUUCUACAUGCCCCCAUCCUUUCUGGAGCACUUCCUUACUUUCUAGCAAUGCAGGACGCUCCAGGCUCAUCUUUUAUUUUCCUGCCCUAGUCCUGGAACGGCCACAGGCAGGAAGAAAGGAAAGAAAGUGUGCUGACAGGCACUCCCGUCCUCUCUCUCCCAUCCCCGGACCCACAAGGGUUCUCUCCCAGCUCCCUAUUCUUCUCUUCAGGAAGGAUGUGGCUAGAGCAGGCGGGAUGGGCUCUUUGUGGGCGACGCCCCGCUGGGUCCUUGUUAGGACUCCCCAGGUGUGUUUGCGGUGCAAGGACUUUACUCAGAGGAGCAUGACCGGGUCUCAAGAGUUACCAGAAAAGGAUGCAUUAACUGCCAACUGCGGCAGCUGCAACCUGCAGCACAACUCUUCCUCCCUCCCCUUUCCUGGGCUCCGGGGAAAGGACGGUGGGAAGGGAACCUCAGCUGGAGGAAUGGGAGUCUAAUUCCCACCGGGUCAAAGGCUUUCCGACUUAGACACAAGCUUACGACGUGGAAAAGUAACUUUAUCCAGGACGUCCCGAUCCGUAUUUCUCUCUAUUGCUGCUCCAAUUAUGAUGUCUUAUCUUGCCAGCAACACAAUGUGCAGCCCAAACUGGCUCAGGCAAACAGGUUUUAGUGACUCAACCGAAAAGAAGGGGUUGGACCGCAGGUACUGGCUCCACGUCUCACCAAAGUAACAGCAGCAACAGUGUCGUGCCCUGACUGGACGACUCGUCCCUCAGGACCGGAAACACCGGCCGACCGCUCCGGGGCCGGGAGCAAGCGACACUCCAAGUGAGCGGGUUCCCUGGGGGAGUGGGGAUCCGGUCGGGCCGCGGCCACGUGACACAGACUCGACCAAUCGGGGAAGACGCACGCUG
RNAcentral lists this long non-coding RNA (1879 nucleotides) under Sus scrofa (pig). RNAcentral's name for it is "lncRNA (ENSSSCG00050015269.1)". Lineage: Eukaryota; Metazoa; Chordata; Mammalia; Artiodactyla; Suidae. The record is from RNAcentral.